RNAcentral lists this ribosomal RNA (1173 nucleotides) under Mycoplasma haemofelis. Its description in RNAcentral is "bacterial SSU rRNA". It matches the Rfam family "Bacterial small subunit ribosomal RNA", at positions 86 to 1304 of the family's 1533-position model. Lineage: Bacteria; Bacillati; Mycoplasmatota; Mollicutes; Mycoplasmatales; Mycoplasmataceae. The record is from RNAcentral.
CCAAAGUUAGUGGCAAACGGGUGAGUAAUACAUAUCUAACAUGCCCCUCUGUGGGGGAUAGCCGCUUGAAAAAGCGAUUAAUACCCCAUAGGAAGCUUUAUCCAUGAUUUAGCUUUUAAAGCCUUCGGGCGCUGAGGGAUUGGGAUAUGCUCUAUUAGCUAGUUGGCGGGAUAAAAGCCCACCAAGGCAAUGAUAGAUAGCUGGUCUUAGAGGAUGAACAGCCACAAUGGGAUUGAGAUACGGCCCAUAUUCCUACGGGAAGCAGCAGUAGGGAAUCUUCCACAAUGGACGAAAGUCUGAUGGAGCAAUACCAUGUGAACGAUGAAGGCCUUUUUGGUUGUAAAGUUCUUUUACGAGGGAUAAUUAUGAUAGUACUUCGUGAAUAAGUGACAGCAAACUAUGUGCCAGCAGCUGCGGUAAUACAUAGGUCGCGAGCAUUAUUCGGAUUUAUUGGGCGUAAAGCAAGCGCAGGCGGAUGUGUAAGUUCUGUGUUAAAUGCAGCUACUCAAUAGUUGUAUGCACCGAAUACUACAUGUCUAGAUUGUGGUAGGGAGUUUCGGAAUUAAGCAUGGAGCGGUGGAAUGUGUAGAUAUGCUUAAGAACACCAGAGGCGAAGGCGGAAACUUAGGCCAUAAAUGACGCUUAGGCUUGAAAGUGUGGGGAGCAAAUGGGAUUAGAUACCCCAGUAGUCCACACCGUAAACGGUGGGUAUUAGAUAUUAGGGCUUUAGCUUUAGUGUUGUAGCUUACGCGUUAAAUACCCCGCCUGGGUAGUACAUAUGCAAAUAUGAAACUCAAAGGAAUUGACGGGGACCUGAACAAGUGGUGGAGCAUGUUGCUUAAUUCGAUAAUACACGAAAAACCUUACCAAGGUUUGACAUCCCUCGCAAAGCUAUAGAAAUAUAGUAGAGGUUAUCGAGGUGACAGGUGGUGCAUGGCUGUCGUCAGCUCGUGUCUUGAGAUGUUUGGUUAAGUCCCGCAACGAGCGCAACCCCACUCUUUAGUUACUUGUCUAAAGAGACUGCACAGUAAUGUAGAGGAAGGAUGGGAUCACGUCAAGUCAUCAUGCCCCUUAUGCCUUGGGCUGCAAACGUGCUACAAUGGCGAACACAAUGUGUUGCAAACCAGCGAUGGUAAGCUAAUCACCAAAUUUCGUCUCAGUUCGGAUAGGAGG